Molecule: unclassified non-coding RNA, 194 nt
Filed under: uncultured Sebacina
Lineage: Eukaryota; Fungi; Basidiomycota; Agaricomycetes; Sebacinales; Sebacinaceae
Description: sequence contains ITS2
Source: RNAcentral
UACUCUCACACUCCAAUUUUGGAGAAGUGGACUUGGGUGUUGCUGCUUUGCAGUGGCUCAUCUUAAAUACGCUAGUGCAACUCAUAGUUGGAUAUAGUACAGCGUGAUAAGUAUCUUCGCUGGCGCCUCAUGAAGUGGGUAUCCGAUUGGGAGCUCUGUGCUUCUAACAGUCCUGUCUGGGACAAUCUCUGACA